GACGAACGCUGGCGGCGUGCCUAAUACAUGCAAGUUGAGCGCUGAAGGUUGGUACUUGUACCAACUGGAUGAGCAGCGAACGGGUGAGUAACGCGUGGGGAAUCUGCCUUUGAGCGGGGGACAACAUUUGGAAACGAAUGCUAAUACCGCAUAAAAACUUUAAACACAAGUUUUAAGUUUGAAAGAUGCAAUUGCAUCACUCAAAGAUGAUCCCGCGUUGUAUUAGCUAGUUGGUGAGGUAAAGGCUCACCAAGGCGAUGAUACAUAGCCGACCUGAGAGGGUGAUCGGCCGCCUUGGGACUGAGACACGGCCCAAACUCCUACGGGAGGCAGCAGUAGGGAAUCUUCGGCAAGAGACGAAAGUCUGACCGAGCAACGCCGCGUGAGUGAAGAAGGGUGUCGGAUCGUAAAACUCUGUUGGUAGAGAAGAACGUUGGUGAGAGUGGAAAGCUCAUCAAGUGACGGUAACUACUCAGAAAGGGACGGCUAACUACGUG
This 497-nucleotide ribosomal RNA is filed under the name uncultured bacterium. RNAcentral describes it as "partial 16S ribosomal RNA". It matches the Rfam family "Bacterial small subunit ribosomal RNA", at positions 28 to 507 of the family's 1533-position model. The record is from RNAcentral.